Sinocyclocheilus grahami is the source of this 288-nucleotide long non-coding RNA. RefSeq lists it as uncharacterized. The transcript has 3 exons. The record is from RefSeq and is a predicted model, not a curated record. NCBI's taxonomy places the organism in Eukaryota, Metazoa, Chordata, Actinopteri, Cypriniformes, Cyprinidae.
GCCCCCUCCAGUCAAUCAGUUCACAUUGAAUAAAUGAACGAAUGACAUUUAUUCUCUCACACUCAGAGACGCGUCACAUUAUGCACCCGAACUCAAUCCUUUUAGGGGCCCGAGAGGACAUUGUUGCCAUGGUAACCGCUCUCACCACAGAUGCCUCCCUGUGAAGUUUGGAGGGACGGUUGGGAUCUGGAACAUAAAGCGUGAGGGCCAUCUCGGUGGGCUGGUAAACGUGACUGCGGAACGGCACAGCGGGACGUAUCAGUCCGUUAUGAUAACCUCCAGUCUGCA